UGUCGACGAACCAAAUACCACCAAAGGGUAUGCAAAAAGUCCAUAAGAUAUAGAUCCAUGUUCUUCAGAUCACACAAGGAAUUGCAUAAUUGGAUGAUGUUUAUCUACAGGUAGGCCAAUACUAUUAUUAGGCCUGUAUUGUGUCAACAGCCAAAUGUUUCUACAAGACUAUCAAAGCUGGUUUUAUCCUCAUUUGUGAACUCAUUUAUCCAUUCACAAGAUUUUGCCAGGGUCUUCGACUGCGUCAGAUUGAUCUGAUGGCUGAUGGUGUUGCACACAGUUCGGCUACUCUUUCCAAAAUGGCAAAGAAGAUUAGAAAGGUGUGCACAACAUCUUUGAAAAGAAUGAAGUUGAGAAAGACAUUCAAAAUUGGUGGACAUUCAAACAAUCGAUUUGUGGUCAUUGAUUAGUCAAAAUUCAUCCAUAAACGAAAGUACAACCGUGGAAGAUUUGGGGGCACUUGGGCAAGGAAGGGCUGGGUGUUUGGAAUGCUGGAAGUGCACCGACAGACCAGAAGACCAAUUCUAAAGUUAGUGAAGACCCGCGCUCGAGCAACACUGAUCCCCAUCAUAGAGAAGCAUGUACGAUGCAACUCAAAUAUAUAUAGUGAUUCCUGGAGAGCUUAUGUGAAUGCACUCAAUCCAAGAGGUUACCGCCAUUUCCCAGUCAACCACCGGCACCAUUUUGUUGACCCUUUGACAGGGAGUCACACUCAACACAUUGAGCGAUUCUGGAGGACUGUUAAGGAACAAAUUUGGAGAGUGAGAGGAAACAGGAGUGAAAAGUUGUUAAAGACUCACUUGAAAGUGAUUGAGUGGACUUACUGGUUAGGGAAAAGGAAUGCAAAGGGUGUUUUUGCACAGAUGGUUCACGAUAUUGCAAAAACGUACAAGGUUUAAGUACACAGGGACUCAGAAAUGUGUGUGUUAUAUUCUCUGUUCUGUAUGCUUUGUUAAAUUAAAUAAACCGUACAUGUUGUUUGUUCCUAAAUAGACAUUUGUUGAAAAGAUAUCAAAUAUAUUUUGAUGAAUACAUUUUGUUUACUACUUUUUGGAAAUUUUCUUGGGUGACCAAAAACAAUUAUUUUCAUAUAUGAAGGUCGCCUAUACAG
Molecule: long non-coding RNA, 1111 nt
Organism: Alosa alosa (allis shad)
Lineage: Eukaryota; Metazoa; Chordata; Actinopteri; Clupeiformes; Clupeidae
Exons: 3
Source: RefSeq, a predicted model, not a curated record